RNAcentral lists this unclassified non-coding RNA (268 nucleotides) under uncultured fungus. Its description in RNAcentral is "sequence contains ITS1". Lineage: Eukaryota; Fungi. The record is from RNAcentral.
UAACUAUUGUGGUUUUCUGACGCUGACUGCAACUGCAAAGAGUUUAACGAGUCCUACUGGCAGGCAAGCCUGCCGAGGAAACAGUGGUACGCAAAAAGCACGGGUUCAGACAGGGCGGAGGAGAAUUGGUCAGGCAAAAAUGUGGCUCGGUGCCAGCUUUGCCUGGCGAUCAUGGCUACGUAUCCGGCCAGAGGGUCGCAAUUGGUCUCAAUUCAGGGUCCGCCCCCGUUACUUGUUAAUGAUCCUUCCGCAGGUUCACCUACGGAAA